Molecule: small nuclear RNA, 120 nt
Organism: Varanus komodoensis (Komodo dragon)
Lineage: Eukaryota; Metazoa; Chordata; Lepidosauria; Squamata; Varanidae
Source: Ensembl
GUAUUGUUUGAAAGGGGGGAAGGUUAGCACUCCCCUUGAAAAGGAUAGAAGAGGUCCUUGUGGCUUGUACCAUGCAUGUACGCUGAAGGCAUUGCCACUCUGUAGCAUCUGGCACUUUUG